CAGUACCCAGCCAGGCAACAGCUACUUAUUGGCGCCUACAACGUGCCAGUCUCGGUGGGGAAGCCCGUGUCAGCCGAACAAGACCUGCGUGGCUCCCACCCCAGGGCGGAAGGGAGAUUCCUGUAAAUUACAAUAUGCUGAGUCUUACGACGGAGGAAUUCAGGAUGCUGUGGGAAGACUUCCAAGUCUCACCUGAGAAAGACGCCUGCAGCCACUCUGACUCACUUCCAGAGUCCUCUGUCGCCGUCAUCCAGUGGCCAGAGGGCGUGCCCGGGGACCGGAGUCCUGUGCUGCGCCCUCCGUGGCUGCGAAAGGUCAGGCGCCCUGGACCGCGGGGGAGCGCGCGACCCGCCUGGGCCGCCCACAUCUCUCACUUCCAGAUGAGAAGUCCCCGGUCCCACUACUCUCGCGUCUGACUCGUUGUGCAGUCACUUCUUGGCUGCUUGAAGCGAGAGCCCAACCGAGAGGAGAAGAGAACUGGGCACAGUCAUGAGUCGGUUUCGUACUGCUCGCUGGGCUGGGGUUUCAGCCCCUGCCCGCGCCCAGAGCUUUAUUAACAUGAAAGUAUGACAUGAUGAAAAUAGAAUGUAAGAAAUACACCCAUCACCUGUGAAGCACCAACUGCAUGAAGACCGUGUGCCAGGGGACACCAAGGCACCUUCCUGAGAAUUCUGACCUGGUUUGGCAGUGGGGAGGAUUGGAGAUGGAGAGGGACCCAGUGGUUUUCCAAGUUUUCUUUGAGUGAGCCACCUUCCCAGGGUGCAGCCAACCAGAAGAGUGACAAAUGACAGGUGGUUUUAGAAUUGAUGCAGCCUAUCUUCAUGGUUUUGAGAGGAGAAGAUUCAGGAACUGUGCACUUCUUUAAGAACUGGCUAUAUCUCUCAUGUACUGAUGAGCGUUGUGUCCCACUUUCAUGUAUAUAAUCUGUUUUUUUCCAUGUAUAGAAUCCUAAAUUUUCAAAACAGGUUAACGUAAAAAUAUACCAGUUUGCCCUCACACAUGUUCAAUUCUGUGAGUUUUAUUAGGUAACCAUUAUAUCCUUUCACAGAUACAGAAACCAAGGCCCAGAGAAUUGAAUAAGGUUUCAUAAUUAGUGAUCAAACUAAGCACAAAAUUAUUGGGGCCUUUAUUUUUUCUGUAGGAGCCCAUCUCCAUUCUCUGGCCUCUUGGUUCAAUGGUAUACAGUAUAAUGAUUCUGAGAUUUUAGUCUUUAAAAACAUCCAUAUUGUAAACAUGUCUCAAAAUUCCACCAAAUGAACACAACCUGUAUUAUCAGGACAAGCUGUAUUUUCGGUGUAAAAUAUAGUGGCUUAUAUGUUGAUUUUUACUACAAGUUUAAGUUUUUGCACAAGUUGUUUUCCCAGCCUUCCAGAGAUUUUCUAAGUGGUGAAAUUUAAAAGUGCUUAAAGGUAGUAAAAAUUUCCCAUUAAAGUUUGUUCAGAAAACA
Molecule: long non-coding RNA, 1447 nt
Organism: Myotis brandtii (Brandt's bat)
Lineage: Eukaryota; Metazoa; Chordata; Mammalia; Chiroptera; Vespertilionidae
Exons: 2
Source: RefSeq, a predicted model, not a curated record